Molecule: non-coding RNA, 28 nt
Filed under: Bombyx mori (domestic silkworm)
Lineage: Eukaryota; Metazoa; Arthropoda; Insecta; Lepidoptera; Bombycidae
Source: RNAcentral
UGAUGAGCACGAGUCUGUCUGGCACUCC